RNAcentral lists this ribosomal RNA (774 nucleotides) under uncultured bacterium. RNAcentral describes it as "bacterial SSU rRNA". It matches the Rfam family "Bacterial small subunit ribosomal RNA", at positions 57 to 821 of the family's 1533-position model. The record is from RNAcentral.
GCAGUCGACGGUAACGGGAGAAAGCUUGCUUUCUUUGCUGACGAGUGGCGGACGGGUGAGUAAUGCUUGGGAAUCUGGCUUAUGGAGGGGGAUAACUACGGGAAACUGUAGCUAAUACCGCGUAAUAUCUUCGGAUUAAAGGGUGGGACUUUCGGGCCACCUGCCAUAAGAUGAGCCCAAGUGGGAUUAGGUAGUUGGUGGGGUAAAGGCCUACCAAGCCGACGAUCUCUAGCUGGUCUGAGAGGAUGACCAGCCACACUGGAACUGAGACACGGUCCAGACUCCUACGGGAGGCAGCAGUGGGGAAUAUUGCACAAUGGGGGGAACCCUGAUGCAGCCAUGCCGCGUGAAUGAAGAAGGCCUUCGGGUUGUAAAGUUCUUUCGGUGAUGAGGAAGGCAGGUAAGUUAAUAGCUUACUUGAUUGACGUUAGUCACAGAAGAAGCACCGGCUAACUCCGUGCCAGCAGCCGCGGUAAUACGGAGGGUGCGAGCGUUAAUCGGAAUGACUGGGCGUAAAGGGCACGCAGGCGGUGACUUAAGCGAGAUGUGAAAGCCCCGGGCUUAACCUGGGAAUUGCAUUUCAUACUGGGUCGCUAGAGUAUUUUAGGGAGGGGUAGAAUUCCACGUGUAGCGGUGAAAUGCGUAGAGAUGUGGAGGAAUACCGAAGGCGAAGGCAGCCCCUUGGGAAUAUACUGACGCUCAUGUGCGAAAGCGUGGGGAGCAAACAGGAUUAGAUACCCUGGUAGUCCACGCUGUAAACGCUGUCGAUUUGGG